RNAcentral lists this ribosomal RNA (492 nucleotides) under uncultured bacterium. RNAcentral's name for it is "partial 16S ribosomal RNA". It matches the Rfam family "Bacterial small subunit ribosomal RNA", at positions 29 to 507 of the family's 1533-position model. The record is from RNAcentral.
AGUGAACGCUGGCGGUAGGCCUAACACAUGCAAGUCGAACGGCAGCACAGUAAGAGCUUGCUCUUACGGGUGGCGAGUGGCGGACGGGUGAGGAAUACAUCGGAAUCUACUUUUUCGUGGGGGAUAACGUAGGGAAACUUACGCUAAUACCGCAUACGACCUACGGGUGAAAGCAGGGGAUCUUCGGACCUUGCGCGAUUGAAUGAGCCGAUGUCGGAUUAGCUAGUUGGCGGGGUAAAGGCCCACCAAGGCGACGAUCCGUAGCUGGUCUGAGAGGAUGAUAAGCCACACUGGAACUGAGACACGGUCCAGACUCCUAAGGGAGGCAGCAGUGGGGAAUAUUGGACAAAGGGCGCAAGCCUGAUCCAGCCAUACCGCGUGGGUGAAGAAGGCCUUCGGGUUGUAAAGCCCUUUUGUUGGGAAAGAAAAGCAGCAGGUUAAUACCCCGCUGUUCUGACGGUACCCAAAGAAUAAGCACCGGCUAACUUCGUG